GAUGAAUGCUAGCGGCAGGCUUAACACAUGCAAGUCGAGGGGCAGCAUGAAUAGUAGCAAUACUAUUGGUGGCGACCGGCGGACGGGUGCGUAACGCGUAUACAGCCUUCCCUAAACAGGGGGAUAAUCUGGAGAAAUUCGGUCUAAUACCCCAUAACAUCAGAGCAGGCAUCUGUUUUGGUUAAAAUUUCCGGAGGUUUAGGAUGGGUAUGCGUAGCAUUAGCUAGUUGGUGAGGUAACGGCUCACCAAGGCGACGAUGCUUAGGGGGACUGAGAGGUUAACCCCCCACACUGGUACUGAGACACGGACCAGACUCCUACGGGAGGCAGCAGUGAGGAAUAUUGGUCAAUAGGCGGAAGCCUGAACCAGCCAUGCCGCGUGCAGGAUGACGGCUCUAUGAGUUGUAAACUGCUUUUGUACGAGGGUAAAGUGGGCUACGUGUAGCCUUUUGAAAGUAUCGUACGAAUAAGGAUCGGCUAACUCCGUGCCAGCCGCCGCCGUAA
This 504-nucleotide ribosomal RNA is filed under the name uncultured bacterium. Its description in RNAcentral is "partial 16S ribosomal RNA". It matches the Rfam family "Bacterial small subunit ribosomal RNA", at positions 28 to 523 of the family's 1533-position model. The record is from RNAcentral.